CCCUUAGAUGCUCUGGGCCGCACGCGCGCUACACUGGUCGAUGCAACGAGUUUCUUUCCUUGGCCGACAGGCCUGGGCAAUCUUUGAACAUCGAUCGUGAUCGGGAUAGAUUCUUGUAAUUUUUGAUCUUAAACGAGGAAUUCCUAGUAAACGCAAGUCAUCAGCUUGCAUUGAUUACGUCCCUGCCCUUUGUACACACCGCCCGUCGCACCUACCGAUUGAAUGGUCCGGUGAAAUCUCCGGACUGGCGUGAGUCGGAGCAAUCUGACAAACACCGGAAAGUUGAUUAAACCUUACCAUUUAGAGGAAGGUGAAGCCGUANCA
RNAcentral lists this ribosomal RNA (324 nucleotides) under uncultured eukaryote. Its description in RNAcentral is "partial 18S ribosomal RNA". It matches the Rfam family "Eukaryotic small subunit ribosomal RNA", at positions 1470 to 1796 of the family's 1831-position model. The record is from RNAcentral.